GUCUACGGCCAUACCACCCUGAACGCGCCCGAUCUCGUCUGAUCUCGGAAGCUAAGCAGGGUCGGGCCUGGUUAGUACUUGGAUGGGAGGAAUUCAACAAACAUGUUGCUAAAUU
This 115-nucleotide ribosomal RNA is filed under the name Neogale vison (American mink). Lineage: Eukaryota; Metazoa; Chordata; Mammalia; Carnivora; Mustelidae. The record is from RNAcentral.